UUCCCUAUAUAGUGCACUACUUUAGACCAGAUCCCUAUGGCCCCUGGCACCCUAUUCCCUAUAUAGUGCACUACUUUAGAUCAGAACCCUAUGGGCCCUGGCACCCUAUUCUCUAUGCAGGUCCUGGUCCAAAGUAGUGCACUAUAAAGGGAAUAGGGUGCCAAUCGAGACAUGACCAAAAUGAAGGAAGCUUCGUAAUGACGUGUUUCUAACAGAACAGAAUCUUUUAUGCAACGAAUAUAAAAAAAUAUAUUUAAACACCUUAUUUAGGUUCAAUAACAUUUUAAUAAUUUAUUAAAUGACUUGUGCACUCAUAGCAGGUAAUUUACAUAUCAGUAGUUAAAAUCGCAAUAACACUUUGUACUGUAUAAAUCAUUGCUUUUAGUUUAAAAGACAUAGGAUGUAUCUCAAACGGCAUCCUAUUCCCUACAUAGUGCACUACUGUUGACCUGGGCCCUAUCGGGCCCAUAACCAUAGCUCUGGUCCAGGGCAUUAUAUAUAUAUAUGUCUUCAUGGAAGGACGUGUGGUAACACCGUGGACCAGAGCUAUCCAAUACGUAGCUCUGGUCCAGGGCAUUAUAUAUAUGUCUUCAUGGAAGGACGUGUGGUAACACCGUGGACCAGAGCUAUCCAAUACAUAGCUCUGGUCCAGGGCAUUAUAUAUAUAUAUAUGUCUUCAUGGAGGGACGUGUGGUACCACCGUGGACCAGAGCUAUCCAAUACAUAGCUCUGGUCCAGGGCAUUAUAUAUAUAUAUAUAUGUCUUCAUGGAGGGACGUGUGGUAACACCGUGGACCAGAGCUAUCCAAUACAUAGCUCUGGUCCAGGGCAUUAUAUAUAUAUAUGUCUUCAUGGAGGGACGUGUGGUAACACCGUGGACCAGAGCUAUCCAAUACAUCGCUUCAUUCUGGUAUGGAAUAAGAUACAGUUAUAGAAGUGUAGAGACAAAAAAAUAUAUAAUACAUAUAUUUUAUUUUUUCUCACAACCUUGAUAAGAAAAUACAAAUGUCAGUGUCAGUAGGACCAACGUAGGUGAUUUAUAUAAUUAAGCAUUGGGUUAAGGUUUUUAAGAAAUCAAAUAUAUAUAUAUAUAUAUAUAUAUAUAUAUAUAUAUAUAUAUAUAUAAAUUAUAUUUAUACAUAUUUCCGACUUCAUAAACGAAACAGACACAUCAACUCAUCCCCAUCGCAGGAAAACAUGUUGUGGUAUAAAUGGUUAACAAAUCCCAAAAGCUUCCAACUAAACCUUUUCUCAUUGGUCCCCCCCCCCAUAUCGCAUGUCAAUCAUCAUGAUGUCAUGAUCAACACAGUAUAUACGCUGACAUAUGGUACCACAUCGUUUGUUUUGAAAAGUUAUCCAAAGAUGUGAAUUCUACCCUCAGAAACGGUGCUUUUUCCACAUAUUGGACUAUACAGUAUAUUGGGAGUGUCUUCUAGCAUAGGAUCUGUAUCCCAGGUGGCACCCUAUCCCCUAUAUAGUGCACUAAAAGUAGUGCACUUUGUAGGGAAUAGGGUGCCAUUUGGGACUGUGACAUAGUCAUCGUCACACCACCUUUUGUGCACGUAGCCAAAACGCUUAUCAAAACAUAGGCUCUAAAAAAAAAAAAACACUACCUUUGGUCCCUUGAUUGGUUUACAAGUUAAAAAGAACAGAUCUGUCUCGAGCUUUGGCCAACUGUACUCUAAAAACAUUAUCAAAUGAGGAAGAACUAUCCCGUCUGCCUGAGUACCCUGAUGUCCUGAUGUUAAUAUUUUUUUUUUUAAAGAUAAACAUUUAAAUAAAUUCAUAAUCUGGCAGGACAAUUGAGGUAAAUCUAGAUCUGGCAUUAUGGAUUCUUUCUUCAACUGAAAGGCUCCUACGACUCACAGUUUCCACACAGCACCAUACACACUAGAUAAUCCACUGUUUCCACACAGCACCAUACACACUAGAUAAUCCACUGUUUCCACACAGCACCAUACAUACUAGAUAAUCCACUGUUUCCACACAGCACCAUACAUACUAGAUAAUCCACUGUUUCCACACAGCACCAUACAUACUAGAUAAUCCACUGUUUCCACACAGCACCAUACACACUAGAUAAUCCACUGUUUCCACACAGCACCAUACAUACUAGAUAAUCCACUGUUUCCACACAGCACCAUACAUACUAGAUAACCCACAGUUUCCACACAGCACCAUACAUACUAGAUAAUCCACUGUUUCCACACAGCACCAUACAUACUAGAUAAUCCCUGUUUCCACACAGCACCAUACAUACUAGAUAAUCCACUGUUUCCACACAGCACCAUACAUACUAGAUAAUCCCCUGUUUCCACACAGCACCAUACAUACUAGAUAAUCCCUGUUUCCACACAGCACCAUACAUACUAGAUAACCUACAGUUUCCACACAGCACCAUACACACUAGAUAAUCCCCUGUUUCCACACAGCACCAUACAUACUAGAUAAUCCCCUGUUUCCACACAGCACCAUACAUACUAGAUAAUCCCGUUUUUCCACACAGCACCAUACAUACUAGGUAAUCCACUGUUUCCACACAGCACCAUACAUACUAGAUAAUCCACUGUUUCCACACAGCCCCAUACAUACUAGAUAUGGUUUUUAUUUCAUCCAAUACCUAGGAGGACUAAUCUGGUAGAACAUGGUUCUAUAGGAGGACUAAUCUGGUAGAACAUGGUACUAUAGGAGGACUAAUCUGGUAGAACAUGGGGUCUGGUACUAUAGGAGGACUAAUCUGGUAGAACAUGGUACUAUAGGAGGACUAAUCUGGUAGAACAUUGUACUAUAGGAAGACUAAUCUGGUAGAACAUGGUUCUAAAGGAGGACUAAUCUGGUAGAACAUGGGGUCUGGUACUAUAGGAGGACUAAUCUGGUAGAACAUGGUACUAUAGGAGGACUAAUCUGGUAGAACAUGGUUCUAUAGGAGGACUAAUCUGGGUAGAACAUGGUACUAUAGGAGGACUAAUCUGGUAGAACAUGGUACAAUAGGAGGACUAAUCUGGUAGAACAUGGUACUAUAGGAGGACUAAUCUGGUAGACCAUGGGGUCUGGUUCUAUAAGAGGACUAAUCUGGGUAGAACAUGGUACAAUAGGAGGACUAAUCUGGGUAGAACAUGGUACGAUAGGAGGACUAAUCUGGUAGAACAUGGUACUAUAGGAGGACUAAUCUGGUAGAACAUGGGGUCUGGUACUAUAGGAGGACUAAUCUGGUAUAACAUGGUACUGUAGGAGGACUAAUCUGGUAGAACAUGGUACUAUAGGAGGACUAAUCUGGUAGGACAUGGUACUAUAGGAGGACUAAUCUGGUAGAACAUGGUACUAUAGGAAGACUAAUCUGGUAGAACAUGGUACUAUAGGAGGACUAAUCUGGUAGAACAUGGUACAAUAGGAGGACUAACCUGGUAGAACAUGGGGUCUGGAACUAAAGGAGGACUAAUCUGGUAGAACACUGUACAAUAGGAGGAAUAAUCUGGUAGAACAUGGUACUAUAGGAGGACUAAUCUGGUAGAACAUGGGGUCUGGUUCUAUAAGAGGACUAAUCUGGGUAGAACAUGGUACAAUAGGAGGACUAAUCUGGUAGAACAUGGUACUAUAGGAGGACUAACCUGGUAGAACAUGGUUCUAUAGGAGGACUAAUCUGGUAGAACACGGUACUAUAGGAGGACUAAUCUGGUAGAACAUGGUACUAUAGGAGGACUAAUCUGGUAGAACAUGGGUCUGGUAGAUGUUCAACCAGACCACCCUACACCAACCUAGUUCAGCUGGUAGAUGUUUAACCAGACCACCCUACACCAACCUAGUUCAGCUGGUAGAUGUUUAACCAGACCACCCUACACCAACCUAGUUCAGCUGGUAGAUGUUUAACCAGACCACCCUACACCAACCUAGUCCAGCUGGUAGAUGUUUAACCAGACCACCCUACACCAACCUAGUUCAGCUGGUAGAUGUUUAACCAGACCACCCUACACCAACCUAG
Oncorhynchus tshawytscha (Chinook salmon) is the source of this 3978-nucleotide long non-coding RNA. Lineage: Eukaryota; Metazoa; Chordata; Actinopteri; Salmoniformes; Salmonidae. The record is from Ensembl.